GGGGAUGUAGCUCAAAUGGUAGAGCGCUCGCUUAGCAUGCGAGAGGUACAAGGAUCAAUACCCUGCUUCUCCA
Molecule: transfer RNA, 73 nt
Filed under: Phytophthora infestans T30-4
Lineage: Eukaryota; Oomycota; Peronosporomycetes; Peronosporales; Peronosporaceae
Rfam family: tRNA
About the family: Transfer RNA (tRNA) molecules are approximately 80 nucleotides in length.
Source: Rfam by way of RNAcentral